RNAcentral lists this ribosomal RNA (564 nucleotides) under uncultured bacterium. RNAcentral describes it as "partial 16S ribosomal RNA". It matches the Rfam family "Bacterial small subunit ribosomal RNA", at positions 355 to 905 of the family's 1533-position model. The record is from RNAcentral.
UGGGGAAUCUUCCGCAAUGGACGAAAGUCUGACGGAGCAACGCCGCGUGAGUGAAGAAGGUUUUCGGAUCGUAAAACUCUGUCUUUUGGGGCCGAACGUGAGUAUGGUGAACAAUCAUAGUCAGUGACGGUACCAAAGGAGGAAGCCACGGCUAACUACGUGCCAGCAGCCGCGGUAAUACGUAGGUGGCAAGCGUUGUCCGGAAUUAUUGGGCGUAAAGAGCGCGUAGGCGGGAUAGUCAGUCUGUUGUAAAGUGCGGGCUCAACCCCGUGAUCGCAAUGGAAACAGCUAUUCUUGAGUGCAGGAGAGGAAAGUGGAAUUCCCAGUGUAGCGGUGAAAUGCGUAGAUAUUGGGAGGAACACCAGUGGCGAAGGCGACUUUCUGGACUGUGUCUGACGCUGAGGCGCGAAAGCCAGGGGAGCGAACGGGAUUAGAUACCCCCGGUAGUCCUGGCCGUAAACGAUGGGUACUAGGUGUGGGAGGUAUCGACCCCCUUUCCGUGCCCGGAGUUAACGCAAUAAGUACCCCCGCCUGGGGAGUACGGUCGCAAGACUGAAACUCAAA